This is a long non-coding RNA of Mercenaria mercenaria, 1232 nucleotides long. RefSeq lists it as uncharacterized. Lineage: Eukaryota; Metazoa; Mollusca; Bivalvia; Venerida; Veneridae. The record is from RefSeq and is a predicted model, not a curated record. The transcript has 2 exons.
UAAACAGUGUGGGGAAUCACGUGACCCAAAAUGGUACGGAACACGGAAAUCAACAUGGCGGAUAUUUGACUUUUUUACCAAUUUUCGAAGAAAUGGCCAAACCUAAGAAGAAACCUGGUCUGACACUUGGGAAAAGAAGUGGAUAAAGAAGCAAAACAAGAAUGUCAAUAUUAAAGUAACUUUCCAAUUGCCGCAAUCCGUCAAGAAAUCACCAGCGAGAAAACAAGCAAAAAGGCUGCUUACGCCAUCUAAAUCCACUCUGUACAACGUAUCUCCAGCAAAUAAAAAAUAAAGUGAAUUUGGGCACCUGUCGUUUCCAAAAAAACAUCAGUUUACAAUAACUCCCAGUAAGUCUUCAAUACCACUUUUUGGAUAUGUAGAGGAAAACAAUGAUACCAGAGACGAUGUAGAACACUUCUUAAACACUGAAUUACUGUGUGGAGAAAUGUGAAGAAAUGACAUGUUCGAUACUGCAAGCAGAAUGAGACUUCCUGUGAGAAGAAAACAGGGAACUGUUAGUACAUCAAGGAACGCAGAUUAGAAAGGAGCUCUGUGUAUAAGGUGGGAGAAGGCUAGAACGAAUGAAUCUAAAAUGCUACCGAUGAAGAGGAUGGGACUGGACUGAGAAGUGCAUAUGAACGAGAAAAAAAAAGUUACGAUAUUAUUAUUAUUAUAGAUCUACCAGAUUUAUGUAGCGCCCUUUUCAUGAUCAAGUUCACGUUCAAAGGCGCUUUACAUAGUUCAAAUGCAGCCACACAGGGCGCAUAAUUCAUUGAUCGCGGCCGAUGCCGCGAUCAUAUUGAAUAGGACAAGUAUUUGCACGAUGGGGAAAAUAUUUCAUGAUGGACCUGUCAAUUCUUUACUUAUGGGUGAAACAGGUCUCAUAAGCGUAAAUACGACUUCUACUGAUUAUAAAACAUACCGUACGAUUUGUUGUGAAUCAACUGUUGUUGUACUUUUAGUAGUUCAACCGCCACCCUUGUUUAAGAGCAACAUUUAAAAAACACGUUUUUUUUCAUCCUCAAGUAAUAAGUAAGUAGACUCGCCCAGUUUAAUCAAUCUAGACGCAUAAUCUACAUAGAGCGCUUACUUCACCCGAUUUACAUUCGGAACAUUUUCACGCGUUUCGGGCUUUAUCGUAUGUUAAACAUGGGAUUUUUGAACCGUCCAAAGAUGUUGGAAAUGUUUGUCUCAUUGUUUAUUUUUUUUUAAUAAAAAUGUUACUGCUUUAA